This is a long non-coding RNA of Acipenser ruthenus (sterlet), 102 nucleotides long. RefSeq lists it as uncharacterized. The transcript has 3 exons. The record is from RefSeq and is a predicted model, not a curated record. NCBI's taxonomy places the organism in Eukaryota, Metazoa, Chordata, Actinopteri, Acipenseriformes, Acipenseridae.
GCUGCCGUGUGGAUUUUUGUUUGUUUUGCUUGUCAUACAGCCCGUGUGAAAAGAGAGACCAAGAAACUGACAAGAGAAAAGGAGGAUCUUCAGAAGAAUUAU